RNAcentral lists this ribosomal RNA (549 nucleotides) under uncultured bacterium. Its description in RNAcentral is "bacterial SSU rRNA". It matches the Rfam family "Bacterial small subunit ribosomal RNA", at positions 355 to 896 of the family's 1533-position model. The record is from RNAcentral.
UAGGGAAUCUUCCACAAUGGGUGCAAACCUGAUGGAGCAAUGCCGCGUGAGUGAAGAAGGUCUUCGGAUCGUAAAGCUCUGUUGUUAGAGAAGAACACGUGCUAGGUAACUACUAGCGCCUUGACGGUAUCUAACCAGAAAGUCACGGCUAACUACGUGCCAGCAGCCGCGGUAAUACGUAGGUGACAAGCGUUGUCCGGAUUUAUUGGGCGUAAAGGGAGCGCAGGCGGUCUGUUUAGUCUAAUGUGAAAGCCCACGGCUUAACCGUGGAACGGCAUUGGAAACUGACAGACUUGAAUGUAGAAGAGGAAAAUGGAAUUCCAAGUGUAGCGGUGGAAUGCGUAGAUAUUUGGAGGAACACCAGUGGCGAAGGCGAUUUUCUGGUCUAACAUUGACGCCGAGGCUCGAAAGCGUGGGGAGCGAACAGGAUUAGAUACCCUGGUAGUCCACGCCGUAAACGAUGAGUGCUAAGUGUUGGGGGCUUUCCGGCCCUCGGUGCUGGAGCUAACGUAUUAAGCACUCCGCCUGGGGAUUACGACCGCAAGGUUG